RNAcentral lists this ribosomal RNA (373 nucleotides) under uncultured bacterium. Its description in RNAcentral is "bacterial SSU rRNA". It matches the Rfam family "Bacterial small subunit ribosomal RNA", at positions 525 to 896 of the family's 1533-position model. The record is from RNAcentral.
ACGUAGGUGGCAAGCGUUGUCCGGAUUUAUUGGGCGUAAAGCGAGCGCAGGCGGUUCUUUAAGUCUGAUGUGAAAGCCCCCGGCUCAACCGGGGAGUGUCAUUGGAAACUGGAGAACUUGAGUGCAGAAGAGGAGAGUGGAAUUCCACGUGUAGCGGUGAAAUGCGUAGAUAUGUGGAGGAACACCAGUAGCGAAGGCGACUCUCUGGUCUGUAACUGACGCUGAGCCUCGAAAGCGUGGGGAGCAAACAGGAUUAGAUACCCUGGUAGUCCACGCCGUAAACGAUGAGUGCUAAGUGUUAGGGGGUUUCCGCCCCUUAGUGCUGCAGCUAACGCAUUAAGCACUCCGCCUGGGGAGUACGGCCGCAAGGCUG